GAACCAAUCUCGCUGAGUCUUUCGGUCUCGAAAGAGCGGGGAAACCAAUACAUAGAGCGCGGCGGUCCCUUUUAUACCGACCCGGGCUCGGGAUGUAUUUGAUUUCUUUUCAGGGUCUCAGGGGUGAAUUCGGCGCGGUCCGCCAUGAGCGGGCUGGCGUUGAUCGGGCGGCUCUCUUUCGCCCAAACCCGACAGCUAACCCCGUAAGCGACAUAAAGAGAGGGU
This 225-nucleotide small RNA is filed under the name Paenibacillus sp. RNAcentral's name for it is "c-di-AMP sequence". It matches the Rfam family "c-di-AMP riboswitch aptamer (ydaO/yuaA leader)". From Rfam's summary of the family: This family represents a conserved RNA structure found upstream of the ydaO and yuaA genes in Bacillus subtilis and related genes in other bacteria. The ydaO/yuaA element is thought to act as a genetic "off" switch for the ydaO and yuaA genes in its native state. The record is from RNAcentral. Lineage: Bacteria; Bacillati; Bacillota; Bacilli; Caryophanales; Paenibacillaceae.